RNAcentral lists this long non-coding RNA (552 nucleotides) under Equus caballus (horse). Its description in RNAcentral is "lncRNA (ENSECAG00000046263.1)". The record is from RNAcentral. Lineage: Eukaryota; Metazoa; Chordata; Mammalia; Perissodactyla; Equidae.
UCCUCCCAGGCCUUUUUUGACCAACCUAUGUAAAGUAGGUUCCACCCAUUUAUUUUCCAUCUCAUCACGCUGUAUAUUUCCUUAAGAGCUCAGGUUACAGCUUGAACUUACCUCAUUUCUUUGUUCACUUGUUGAUUGUCUCCUAUACUGGAAUGUAAACCCCAGAGGGCUGGAACUUGAUCUCUCUUCUUUCUGCUGUAGAAUGGUGCCUGGCACAGGGCAGGUACUCAGCGUAUACUUGUUGAACGAGAACCUGGUUCAGGGGACACUGCACCAGUCCCCCAGCCUUUAAUUUCCCACAUUCUCCAUCUCCUGUUCCGCAUGGAAUCUAGAGCGUGGAAAAAAGAUUGCCAGCAAAGGCUCUAAAACAUAUAUUGCAAAUUGAGAUGUCAUGGGGACCAGGCGAGUAACAGAAAGGAGAGAAACCAGCUGGAAUAAGAGACGAGUAAUGAGGUGUCCAUUACCAGAAACUUUCUACGGGUAAAUGCAUGCCGAUAAUACCGUGCCCCGGACGGGGUAAGAAACUCCAACGUGUCCAGCUGGUGGCUAGUG